This 355-nucleotide small RNA is filed under the name uncultured fungus. Its description in RNAcentral is "eukaryotic LSU rRNA". The stretch from base 1 to 74 matches the Rfam family "5.8S ribosomal RNA", at positions 81 to 154 of the family's 154-position model. The record is from RNAcentral. Lineage: Eukaryota; Fungi.
UCAGUGAAUCAUCGAAUCUUUGAACGCAUAUUGCGCUCUCUGGUAUUCCGGAGAGCAUGCUUGUUUGAGUAUCAGUAAACACCUCAAAUCCCUCUACUUGUUGGAGGAAUUUGGACUUGAGCAAUCCCAACUUUUCGAAAGAGAAGGCGGGUUGCUUGAAAUGCAGGUGCAGCUAGAUUCUUUCUUCUGAGCUAUAAGCAUACUUAUUUAAUCCCGUCAAACGGAUUAUUACUUUUGCUGCAGCUAACAUAAAGGUUGAAGAGUCGCUAUGGCUGACUGAUGCAGGAUUUAACAUGUCGCGCAAGCGAUCUGUAAACUCGAUCUCAAAUCAAGCAAGACUACCCGCUGAACUUAA